Molecule: ribosomal RNA, 253 nt
Filed under: uncultured bacterium
Lineage: Bacteria
Description: partial 16S ribosomal RNA
Rfam family: Bacterial small subunit ribosomal RNA
Source: RNAcentral
CACGUAGGGCGCAAGCGUUGUCCGGAAUUAUUGGGCGUAAAGAGCUCGUAGGCGGUCUGUUGCGUCCGCUGUGAAAACUCGGGGCUUAACCCCGAGCCUGCAGUGGAUACGGGCAGACUAGAGGUAGGUAGGGGAGAAUGGAAUUCCCGGUGUAGCGGUGAAAUGCGCAGAUAUUGGGAGGAACACCGGUGGCGAAGGCGGUUCUCUGGGACGGUACUGACGCUGAGACGCGAAAGCGUGGGGAGCGAACAGG